UGGGGAAUCUUGGACAAUGGGGGCAACCCUGAUCCAGCGAUGCCGCGUGAGUGAAGAAGGCCUUCGGGUUGUAAAACUCUUUCACCUGUGAUGAUGAUGACAGUAGCAGGAGAAGAAGCACCGGCUAACUCCGUGCCAGCAGCCGCGGUAAGACGGAGGGUGCUAGCGUUGUUCGGAAUGACUGGGCGUAAAGGGCGCGUAGGCGGCUUUAUUAGUCAGGCGUGAAAGCCCCGGGCUUAACCUGGGAACUGCGUUUGAUACUGUAGAGCUUGAGGAUGGAAGAGGAAAGUGGAAUUCCUAGUGUAGAGGUGAAAUUCGUAGAUAUUAGGAGGAACAUCAGAGGCGAAGGCGGCUUUCUGGUCCAUCACUGACGCUGAGGCGCGAAAGCGUGGGGAGCAAA
This 400-nucleotide ribosomal RNA is filed under the name uncultured bacterium. RNAcentral describes it as "bacterial SSU rRNA". It matches the Rfam family "Bacterial small subunit ribosomal RNA", at positions 355 to 772 of the family's 1533-position model. The record is from RNAcentral.